This 468-nucleotide ribosomal RNA is filed under the name uncultured bacterium. RNAcentral's name for it is "partial 16S ribosomal RNA". It matches the Rfam family "Bacterial small subunit ribosomal RNA", at positions 28 to 507 of the family's 1533-position model. The record is from RNAcentral.
GACGAACGCUGGCGGCGUGCUUAACACAUGCAAGUCGAACGGAAAGGCCCUGCUUUUGUGGGGUGCUCGAGUGGCGAACGGGUGAGUAACACGUGAGUAACCUGCCCUUGACUUUGGGAUAACUUCAGGAAACUGGGGCUAAUACCGGAUAGGAGCUCCUGCUGCAUGGUGGGGGUUGGAAAGUUUCGGCGGUUGGGGAUGGACUCGCGGCUUAUCAGCUUGUUGGUGGGGUAGUGGCGUACCAAGGCUUUGACGGGUAGCCGGCCUGAGAGGGUGACCGGCCACAUUGGGACUGCGAUACGGCCCAGACUCCUACGGGAGGCAGCAGUGGGGAAUAUUGCACAAUGGGCGGAAGCCUGAUGCAGCAACGCCGCGUGCGGGAUGACGGCCUUCGGGUUGUAAACCGCUUUCGCCUGUGACGAAGCGUGAGUGACGGUAAUGGGUAAAGAAGCACCGGCUAACUACGUG